Acipenser ruthenus (sterlet) is the source of this 725-nucleotide long non-coding RNA. RefSeq lists it as uncharacterized. NCBI's taxonomy places the organism in Eukaryota, Metazoa, Chordata, Actinopteri, Acipenseriformes, Acipenseridae. The record is from RefSeq and is a predicted model, not a curated record. The transcript is spliced from 5 exons.
CUGCUGCUGACAAUGCAAUCUGGCAAGUAGUGUUUCAUCUCGCACAAAAUAAAAAGAAAGAGAUGACUGUUGCUCAGGCCAUGUUGAGUGGUUAUGGAAUAAACACUACCCCAACCAGAAUCAUGUUAAGAGCUGCCUACAAUGCAACAGAAACUCAGCCUCAACUGAUCCAAACUGUACCAAUGGCAGUCCUAAGGUCAACUACCUUCUAUAAGCAAAGAUGGAUGGUCUUGAUGGUGGACACUGCAAUUGCAUGCCCUACUGAUGGUACGUCAUUCACAGAUUGUAUGGAGAGUUCCCCGUGUCAUACCUCCCCUUGUUCCUACAACACCACUUACUAGCCUCAAUGUUCAAAUGGGAAUUGAUGGGCGCAAGCUUGACCCGCCAACAGUUAAUAAUAGAAGAUAUGUCCUGGAUGUGGGUCCUGAGCUAAUCACAAUAAAAAUUCCAGUGGGUGCAGAUGGUGGAUAUUAUAAGAGCAAUGUCUUGAACAACACCUAGGCAAUUUCUUAUUCUAUUGCUCCAAUGCUGGAGCAUACCUGGCAGGAUGUGGAUGAGAAGACAAAGCACACGAUACUUCAUCCAAUAACCACUCCUUUGAUGCCUAGGCCACCUUUUCUCAUAAACGACACUGUUACUAAAGACCGAGUGUUCAAUGUGACCCUGGGGAUAUUCCUGCCUGAUGUGGAUCUUGUAGACAUUACAUUUGGACUUGAGACUUUGAC